GAGUAACACGUGGGCAAUCUGCCCUUCACUCUGGGACAAGCCCUGGAAACGGGGUCUAAUACCGGAUAACACCUGCCUGGGCAUCUGGGUGGGUUAAAAGCUCCGGCGGUGAAGGAUGAGCCCGCGGCCUAUCAGCUUGUUGGUGAGGUAGUGGCUCACCAAGGCGACGACGGGUAGCCGGCCUGAGAGGGCGACCGGCCACACUGGGACUGAGACACGGCCCAGACUCCUACGGGAGGCAGCAGUGGGGAAUAUUGCACAAUGGGCGAAAGCCUGAUGCAGCGACGCCGCGUGAGGGAUGACGGCCUUCGGGUUGUAAACCUCUUUCAGCAGGGAAGAAGCGAAAGUGACGGUACCUGCAGAAGAAGCGCCGGCUAACUACGUGCCAGCAGCCGCGGUAAUACGUAGGGCGCAAGCGUUGUCCGGAAUUAUUGGGCGUAAAGAGCUCGUAGGCGGCUUGUCACGUCGGGUGUG
Molecule: ribosomal RNA, 474 nt
Filed under: Streptomyces olivochromogenes
Lineage: Bacteria; Bacillati; Actinomycetota; Actinomycetes; Kitasatosporales; Streptomycetaceae
Description: bacterial SSU rRNA
Rfam family: Bacterial small subunit ribosomal RNA
Source: RNAcentral